RNAcentral lists this ribosomal RNA (510 nucleotides) under uncultured bacterium. Its description in RNAcentral is "bacterial SSU rRNA". It matches the Rfam family "Bacterial small subunit ribosomal RNA", at positions 15 to 518 of the family's 1533-position model. The record is from RNAcentral.
GAUUAUGGCUCAGGAUGAACGCUAGCGGCAGGCCUAAUACAUGCAAGUCGAACGGGAUAGGCUCCUUCGGGGGCCUUGAGAGUGGCGCACGGGUGCGCAACGCGUAUGCAACCAACCCCCGACAGGCGGAUAGCCGGUGGAAACGCCGGAUAAUACGCCAUGGUUCCGGUGGAGGGCAUCCUCUACUGGAUAAAGCCGAGAGGCGGUCGGGGACGGGCAUGCGUCCCAUUAGAUGGUAGGCGGGGUGACGGCCCACCUAGUCCACGAUGGGUAGGGGAUCUGAGAGGACGGUCCCCCACACUGGUACUGAGACACGGACCAGACUCCUGCGGGAGGCAGCAGUAAGGGAUAUUGGUCAAUGGGCGGAAGCCUGAACCAGCCCAUGCCGCGUGAGGGAAUGAGGCCCUACGGGUCGUGAACCUCUUUUAUUCGGGGACAAGGACGCGGUCGGGAACCGUGUUUGAGGGUACCGAAGGAAUAAGCGUCGGCUAACUCCGUGCCAGCCGCGGC